CCAACACAUUUUUCCAGAGGAAAUUAGAUACAUUGCUUAGUUAAAGCUGUGCCAAGGAGGAAAUGUUUCUAUAAAUACUUACCAACUCAUCUGGAGAGAUGAUAAGUGCUGGUGUGUCCUUCACAAUGUCAUGUUAGUUGCUGAGUCUGGUUUAAAAUUCAGUUGUUUAUGUUCCUGGGAGAAAAAAACCCCGAUGGUUCUAAAGUGAGGAACAAAGUAUAUGCAAAAAAUCAGUCCUGAACUCUGAAACCUUGAAUCUAAGGGCUUUUUUUUUUUCUUUUCUAUUAGAUUCAGUAGGGAAUAAAUUGCCAGCCAGGCUAACAUAGUGUGCUUGCUUACCUGGCGCUGGAGGACAAAGUGACACAUGGUGGCAGCCAGGGUGUGUGUGCCACAGUGCAGUGAUGGAGCAGUGUCUGUGCCCAGCCCUGGCAUGCCCUGUGUCCUGCAUCCUGUGUCCCACUCAGCAGGAGGAGGCACCGUCCUGCCCACGACUGCAGCACCCUGACAACAGGGAUGGACCCCAGAGCGAGCUGCAGCGCCGAGACACGUGGGAGGUGUCGCACACGGUUUGCUCAUCACCCGUUUGCUGCAGAGGCAGCUCGUCGCUUCUCCCUGCAAUGAAAGAGAAGGACAAGGGCACCUCAGAGACAUCAAAGCACAGCAUCCUCUGGGAAAAGGAGAGAUAA
This 686-nucleotide long non-coding RNA is filed under the name Zonotrichia albicollis (white-throated sparrow). Its description in RNAcentral is "lncRNA (ENSZALG00000012393.1)". The record is from RNAcentral. Lineage: Eukaryota; Metazoa; Chordata; Aves; Passeriformes; Passerellidae.